Molecule: transfer RNA, 71 nt
Filed under: Microbacterium maritypicum
Lineage: Bacteria; Bacillati; Actinomycetota; Actinomycetes; Micrococcales; Microbacteriaceae
Description: Microbacterium liquefaciens tRNA-Ala
Rfam family: tRNA
About the family: Transfer RNA (tRNA) molecules are approximately 80 nucleotides in length.
Source: RNAcentral
AGGCCCUUGGCUGGUGUGAUGAUCCUGCUUUGCAAGCAGGAUGUCAGGAGUUCGAAUCUCCUAGGCUCCAC